This 494-nucleotide ribosomal RNA is filed under the name uncultured bacterium. Its description in RNAcentral is "partial 16S ribosomal RNA". It matches the Rfam family "Bacterial small subunit ribosomal RNA", at positions 28 to 507 of the family's 1533-position model. The record is from RNAcentral.
GACGAACGCUGGCGGCGUGCUUAACACAUGCAAGUCGAACGGAAAGGCCUGCUUUCCCUUGUGGAUUGCGGGUACUCGAGUGGCGAACGGGUGAGUAACACGUGAGUGAUCUGCCCCCAACUUGGGUAUAAGCCUGGGAAACUGGGUCUAAUUCCCGAUAGGACUGCAGGGUGGUGCCUGUGGUGGAAAACGAUUUUCUAGUGGUUGGGGAUGAGCUCGCGGCCUAUCAGCUUGUUGGUGGGGUAAUGGCCUACCAAGGCGGCGACGGGUAGCCGGCCUGGGAGGGUGGACGGCCACAUUGGGACUGAGACACGGCCCAGACGCCUACGGGAGGCAGCAGUGGGGAAGAGUGGACAAUGGGCGGAAGCCUGAUGCAGCGACGCAGCGUGGGGGAUGACGGCCUUCGGGUUGUAAACUCCUUUCGACCGCGAGGAAGCCACCUGGUUGGAAGGGUGGUGACGGUAGUGGUAGAAGAAGCACCGGCUAACUACGUG